UGAUAGGGAAGAGUUGUGGCGUUAAAUGUGCUGUAUAAUGACGUACACUAUAUGUCAGGAUCUGUAGAGUCAAUCUGUUGAAUAGUUUGAUACGUUGCUCACACAGAUAUGAAUUCAAUAAGAAGUGAUGAGUGAAAAAAAUGUCAUAUGAUGCCAAAUUAAUUAUUUAAUACAUGUGAUUACGACGAAUUUCAAACAUUAUAUGUAGCCGCUUCGUAAACUGGCUAAUGCAGUUUGUGCUGCAGAUCAUCAAAUUGCAGAGACAAUUCUACCACUACAAAAAUAUAAUUCCAAUUCACUAGUAUAUAAGACAUGUUAACUCAAUUCUGUGGUGGGGUGCCUUUUCAUAGAUGAAGGUUGACAUGGUUGAUAACUACUAUCCCCACAUUGGUGACCCGGACGUGAUGUGAAAAUGCCUACCUUGAUAGAAACUCCCACUUUGAUAUGAACACGCCUAUCUUGACAGAAACUCCCACUUCGAAUUGAACACGCCUACUUUAAUGGAUGGUCCACAUUGAACAGUUGACUUGCAACUUGUGACUGCGGCAUUUUUCACCUCUUCACGCUAUUGCUACUCAGUCUCAAUUGCACACACAACGUCGGCCUGUAUACACUCGACUGCUAAUAGCAACAUAAGAGCAACCAUGACGGUGAACAAAACAACAAUGAGUCAAGUACUGGUAUCCGUUCAUCGAAUUCUAUCAGAUAUAAUUCUGGUGGGGGAGUACUAUAGUGUAUCUACCACAACAAAAAUACAAUUCUAAUUCACUAGUAUAUAGGACUUGUUUACUCGAUUCUAUGAUGGGGUACCUUUUCAUAGAUGACGGUUGACAAUGCCGAUAGCACUCGCCCCACCGCCUAAUUUUCGUUGUGGGAAGAGAUUCAUUGGAGGCAAACUUGACUGUGAAAGUAUAAACAUUUUGAAAAUUACAUCUUGUACAAUUCUUUUUUUAGAAUUUCCAUCCAGUUUUGUAAGUAUUUGAUUGAACAAUUGCCGUCCAUCAGAAUAAAAUUGUCAGUAAGUUCAGAAUGGAGGGCGAAACUCAAAGCCUCUCUGAUGGCAAGAUCUGAGCGAACAUUCGAACAGUUGUCUGUGUUGCGAAACCUGCAAUGAAAAUUCAAACCAACCUCUAAUUUAGCGUAGACACAGUUGCCAAACCUACCGGAGUGCAAUUUACUACUAUCAGUGAAAAUUACUAGGGCCUGAGAUGGGAUGUAUGGUUCAGAUUUAAGGUUUUUUUGGUACAAUGAAUCAUCUUUAAUUGCUAAAUAUUAAGUAUCACUAUAGUGAAAGUAAAUUGAAAACUAGCAUAUAUAUCUGUUUCAUUCGCCUACCAAGUCUCCUUAUUUACUAAUUCUAGACUCAACCCGAGCGAAAAUUAAAUUUAAUCUGAUCCGACAAAAAAAUUGAAGGUAUAUCAGUUGAACGAAUGCCUAGAAAAGCCUUUUUUACCUCUGAACUAUACAGAUUAAUAACAGAAGGGCAGAGCGUGUGGAGACUGGUAACCUCAAAAAUGUGACAGUGCUGCCGAGGGUUCAAGACUAGAAAGAGGCCACAACUUUGAAAAACGUAAAAUAAUUGCAGAGGAACAUGGAGGGAAAUCGCUAGCGGAAUUAAAAGGUCACCAUCAGUUAAAUCUUUUCGUCAGAUGUUUUACAGGGAGGGAUGAAAGUUUCUUGGUGAAACCUUGUACCCCUCUAAUCUUCAUCGUAAUCGCCAAGGAUAUAGAAGAAAAGAUCAAAUCAGUAGAAAGACUCUUGGAAGUGAGAACAAAUGGAGAAGAUAGGACAAUUUAGAACCUUGUCAAGACAUCUAAAAUAUACUUUUUGAAAAUUUUCUUUUACAGUCUAAUAUUGUGAAUAUUUUUAAUGCGAUACAAAAAGCAAGCUGUAUAUGUGUUUAACAUUAAUCAUAUAUGAUUGCUCAACGUUAAACCCCUAUUUAGGUUAAACCUCAUAAUUCCUAAAAAUAUUCUUAAGUAUAUGGAUUUAAGUGAUCUUAUAAUAUUGUAUUUAAUACGAAUAGUUCUAAGCCAGUGAUGUAAUUAAAAGACUAUUUCGUGUGUG
Parasteatoda tepidariorum (common house spider) is the source of this 2067-nucleotide non-coding RNA. The record is from RefSeq and is a predicted model, not a curated record. Lineage: Eukaryota; Metazoa; Arthropoda; Arachnida; Araneae; Theridiidae.